Molecule: ribosomal RNA, 597 nt
Filed under: Triticum aestivum (bread wheat)
Lineage: Eukaryota; Viridiplantae; Streptophyta; Magnoliopsida; Poales; Poaceae
Description: partial small subunit ribosomal RNA
Source: RNAcentral
AUGCACGCGGCAGCGACCGCCCCGGCGCUCGCGCCGCCCAUCCUCCUCCCCCUCGGCCCACCCACCGGCGCCGGCUCCUCCGCCCGGCCGCGCCGCGCCGCCGUCCGGUGCGAGCUCGCCGCCGCCUCCUCCGCGGCACCCGCGGCCGCUCCCGGGUCCGUGGCUGGCCCCCGCUGGGCCCAGAGGACGGUCGUCAUCCCGCCGCAGCGCCGCGGCUGCCACAUCAUCACCCACAAGAUCAUGCACGCGAUCAGGAGCGACCUCUCCGAGUUCAAGUGCGGCCUGGCGCAUCUCUUCUUGCACCACACGAGCGCUUCACUCACUCUUAAUGAGAACUACGACCCCGAUGUCCAAACUGACACUGAAACAUUCCUUAGUCGAAUUGUCCCAGAGGGUCCAUCUGCUCCAUGGAGGCACACCAUUGAAGGAUCUGAUGACAUGCCAGCACAUAUCAAAUCAUCAAUGUUUGGCUGUGCCUUGACAAUUCCUAUCACUGACGGGCGUCUCAACAUGGGAACUUGGCAGGGUAUAUGGCUCUGUGAACACCGUGAUUACGCUACUCCUCGCACAAUUGUGAUUACACUCAGUGGGAUAUGA